GUCAGCCUCCUCCCUGCAACACACAGGCACAAGGCGGUUUGUAAGGGGCUCAGAAGCCCCUUCCUCCCGGUGGACAGCGCGCCUCCAAUCUGGCUGCCCUGGGAGCAGCAGCUCUUUGGCUUCCAAACAGAAAAGAACUCUGGGUGGGUCUCCCGAAAGAUCUGACGCCUGGCUGCCAUUUAGUCCAUCUGCUGAAUUCAGUUGUGCAACAGAAGAUUAACAACAUCCCAGACAGAAAAGCAGAUGAACACGAUGAGACUGCUUAAGCCGGGCAGGCACUGUGGCAUGGUGGUUAAGUCGCAGCCUGUGACACCAGCAACCCAUGUGAACUCUGGUUCAAGUCCCACUGCUCCACUUCCCACCCAGCUCCCUGUUAACGUGUCUGGGAAAGCAGCCAAU
Molecule: non-coding RNA, 399 nt
Organism: Oryctolagus cuniculus (rabbit)
Lineage: Eukaryota; Metazoa; Chordata; Mammalia; Lagomorpha; Leporidae
Source: RefSeq, a predicted model, not a curated record